GAUGAACGCUGGCGGCGUGCCUAAUACAUGCAAGUCGAGCGAACAGACGAGGAGCUUGCUCCUCUGACGUUAGCGGCGGACGGGUGAGUAACACGUGGAUAACCUACCUAUAUGACUGGGAUAACUUCGGGAAUCCGGCGCUAAUACCGGAUAAUCUCUUGAACCGCAUGGUUCAAUAGUGAAAGUCGGUUUUGCUGUCACUUAUAGAUGGAUCUGCGCUGCAUUAGCUAGUUGUUACGGUAACGGGUUACCAAGGGGACGAGGCGUAGCCGACCUGAGAGAGUGGUCGGCCACACUGGAGGUGAGACAGGGUCAAUGCGCCUACGGGAGGCAGCAGUAGGGAAUCUUACGCAAUGGGCGGAAGCCUGACGGAGCAACGCCGCGUGAGUGAUGAAGGUCUUCGGAUCGUAAAACUCUGUUAUUAGGGAAGAACAAAUGUGUAAGUAACUAUGCACGUCUUGACGGUACCUAGUCAGAAAGCCACGGCUAACUACGUG
This 497-nucleotide ribosomal RNA is filed under the name uncultured bacterium. Its description in RNAcentral is "partial 16S ribosomal RNA". It matches the Rfam family "Bacterial small subunit ribosomal RNA", at positions 28 to 507 of the family's 1533-position model. The record is from RNAcentral.